This 107-nucleotide small nuclear RNA is filed under the name Penicillium rubens Wisconsin 54-1255. The record is from RNAcentral. Lineage: Eukaryota; Fungi; Ascomycota; Eurotiomycetes; Eurotiales; Aspergillaceae.
GCCCUUUGGGGUAUAUGGUCAACUGAAAAUAGUAUACAAAGAAGAUUAGCGUGGCCCCUGGGGCACUAAGGAUGACUCGCAUAAUCAAAGAGAAGCUACCUAUUUCU